CCAGAGACAGGUGCUGCAUGGCUGUCGUCAGCUCGUGCCGUGAGGUGUUGGGUUAAGUCCCGCAACGAACGCAACCCCUAUUCUCAGUUGCCAGCACAUAAUGGUGGGCACUCUGUGGAGACUGCCCGGGUUAACCGGGAGGAAGUGGGAUGACGUCAAGUCAUCAUGGCCCUUACGCCUAGGGCUACACACGUACUACAAUGGUGGGUACAAAGGGCAGCGAAACCGCGAGGUCGAGCGAAUCUCAAAAAACCCAUCAUAGUCCGGAUUGCAGUCUGCAACUCGACUGCAUGAAGUUGGAAUCGCUAGUAAUCCCGGAUCAGCAUGCCGGGGUGAAUACGUUCCCGGGCCUU
RNAcentral lists this ribosomal RNA (353 nucleotides) under uncultured Desulfomicrobium sp. RNAcentral's name for it is "bacterial SSU rRNA". It matches the Rfam family "Bacterial small subunit ribosomal RNA", at positions 1028 to 1382 of the family's 1533-position model. Lineage: Bacteria; Pseudomonadati; Thermodesulfobacteriota; Desulfovibrionia; Desulfovibrionales; Desulfomicrobiaceae. The record is from RNAcentral.